UACUUCUUGACAUCCAGAGAACUUUUUAGAGAUGGAUUGGUGCCUUCGGGAGCUCUGAGACAGGUGCUGCAUGGCUGUCGUCAGCUCGUGUUGUGAAAUGUUGGGUUAAGUCCCGCAACGAGCGCAACCCUUAUCCUUGUUUGCCAGCACGUAAUGGUGGGAACUCCAGGGAGACUGCCGGUGAUAAACCGGAGGAAGGGGGGGACAACGUCAAGUCAUCAUGGCCCUUACAAGUAGGGCUACACACGUGCUACAAUGGCAGAUACAGAGGGCAGCGAACCUGCGAAGUGGAGCGAAUCCCUUAAAGUUUGUCGUAGUCCGGAUUGGAGUCUGCAACUCGACUCCAUGAAGUCGGAAUCGCUAGUAAUCGUGGAUCAAAAUGCCACGGUGAAUACGUUCCCGGGUCUUGUACACACCG
RNAcentral lists this ribosomal RNA (418 nucleotides) under Salinibacter sp. enrichment culture clone TTGE_BC_87. Its description in RNAcentral is "bacterial SSU rRNA". It matches the Rfam family "Bacterial small subunit ribosomal RNA", at positions 976 to 1392 of the family's 1533-position model. The record is from RNAcentral. Lineage: Bacteria; Pseudomonadati; Rhodothermota; Rhodothermia; Rhodothermales; Salinibacteraceae.